UGGGGAAUCUUCCGCAAUGGACGAAAGUCUGACGGAGCAACGCCGCGUGAGUGAAGACGGCCUUCGGGUUGUAAAGCUCUGUGAUCCGGGACGAAAGAGCCUGAGGUGAAUAGCCUAAGGAAGUGACGGUACCGGAAAAGCAAGCCACGGCUAACUACGUGCCAGCAGCCGCGGUAAUACGUAGGUGGCAAGCGUUGUCCGGAAUUAUUGGGCGUAAAGCGCGCGCAGGCGGCUUCCUAAGUCCAUCUUAAAAGUGCGGGGCUUAACCCCGUGAUGGGAUGGAAACUGGGAAGCUGGAGUAUCGGAGAGGAAAGUGGAAUUCCUAGUGUAGCGGUAAAAUGCGUAGAGAUUAGGAAGAACACCGGUGGCGCAGGCGACUUUCUGGACGAAAACUGACGCUGAGGCGCGAAAGCGUGGGGAGCAAACAGG
RNAcentral lists this ribosomal RNA (429 nucleotides) under Fusobacteriota bacterium. Its description in RNAcentral is "Fusobacteria bacterium partial 16S ribosomal RNA". It matches the Rfam family "Bacterial small subunit ribosomal RNA", at positions 355 to 776 of the family's 1533-position model. Lineage: Bacteria; Fusobacteriati; Fusobacteriota. The record is from RNAcentral.